AGGUUUCAAGGCUAGAUCUCAGAGUUUCUGGAAGAGUGAAGAGAAUGCCUGACCACACAUAAGAUGGAGGGGAGAUGGCGUCUGGAGUUGGUUCCUGCCAGUGGGUUCAUGUUCUCGCUGACUUCAAGAAUGAAGCUGCGGACCUUCUCGUCCCAAGGCACAAGACCACUUGUGCCAGCAGCAUGCUUCAGCAAGAUGGUAGAAGCAGGAAGAGAGCUGGCCAGAAGACACAUACCCCCUGGAAAUGGAGAGAGUCCUUCGGUGUACCACGUAGCAGUUACGUCAGACUGGGACACUUACUGUUUACAGGAGACUACAAAACCCUAGCCCCAUCCUCACUUGAGGCUGAUGGCAUUUUGGGCCUCAGCCCGUCUGCACCCAGGCGCUCAUUAAAACAGCGUGUUGCUCCACUCCACCUUGUGUUGUUUGUUGGCGCGUUCUUGGGGUUCGAACCAAUACAAGAGCCUUGCAGUAGGUAAUAGAAAUGCAACAGAAAAGCCAACUAGCUGAGGUGGGUCAAGAGAAAAAACAGUGAGCGUGGGUCCUUGCUGACAUGGAGCUGGGAGUGCACUCUGGAGAGAGCUCUCCUGCAGAUUCUUAUCAAGUAAGCAAUAAAAUAACCGUAUGGUCUACGCUCCUGGAGCUGAGACUUUGUACUCCUUGCUGUUGAAAACAGU
This 677-nucleotide long non-coding RNA is filed under the name Homo sapiens (human). Its description in RNAcentral is "HSALNT0152554". The record is from RNAcentral. Lineage: Eukaryota; Metazoa; Chordata; Mammalia; Primates; Hominidae.